AAUACAAAAAUACUGCAAAAUGGAUACGGUGUAUGUGCUAUAGUCCAGGAAAAAAGCAUUAAUGCAAGACCGUACCCGAAACCGACACAGGUGAACGAGUCGAGUAGACUCAGGCGUUGAGUGAACCAUAUUGAAGGAACUCGGCAAAAUAAUCCCGUACCUUAGGAAGAAGGGAUACCGAAAGGUGACACAAAAAUGGGGGUGACGACUUUUUACUAAAAAAUUAGGACUCUGCAAAAUGGCAACAUGCUGUAUAGGGUCUGACGUCUGCCCGGUGCUAGAAGUCUAAAAGGCGCAUUGCAAGAUGCAAAUGGAAAGCCUAGUAAACGGCGGUUGUAACUAUAACAAUCAUAAAGUAGCGAAAUUCAUUGCCAGCUAAUUCCUGGCCUGCAUGAAAGACGUAACGAUUGCCCCACUGUCUCCAGUAUGGACUCAGUGAAAUUGAAUUCUCCGUGCAGAUGCGGAGUACGUGCCCCAAGACGAGAAGACCCUGUGCAUCUUUACUGUACAUUUGCAUUGAUAAAACGAUGAGCAUGCGUAGGAUAGGUGGGAGUACAUACAUCCUUGAAAUACCACCCUUGCCAUGGGUUUUGUCUUACACCAAAUUUGGUGCACAAUGCAUGUGAGGCAGUUUGACUGGGGCGGUCGCCUCCUAAAAGGUAACGGAGGCGUGCGAAGGUAAACUCAAUGCAAGACGGAAACUUGCUGAAGAGCGUAAUGGUAUAUGUUUGCCUGACUGUAAGAUGUACACAUCAAACAGAGACGAAAGUCGGCCAUAAUGAUCCACAAGUGCCGCGUGGAAGGGCUUGUGCUUAACGAAUCAAAGAUACGCCAGGGAUAACAGGCUGAUAAUUCCCAAGAGUCCUUAUCGACGGAAUUGUUUGGCACCUCGAUGUUGACUGAUCAUAUCCUGGGGCUGAAGAAGGUCCCAAGGGUUCGGCUGUUCGCCGAAUAAAAUGGUACCUGAGUUGAGUUUAGAACGUCGUGAGACAGUUUGGAUUCUACCUGGGGUGCGCGUAAAAGAAUUGUGAAAACCACGUCCUUGUACGAGAGGACCGGACGUGUACAACCACUGGUCGAGUAAUUGUUUUGCCGAAAGCAUUGUUACCAGGCUACGUUGUGACAGGAAAAGAACUGAAAGCAUCUCAAGUUCGAAACUUUUUUCGAGACAAAUUCUUUAAAAUGUCGUGAAAGAUUAUCACGUUAAUAGCCGAGCUGUCUAUACCAUGAAAAUGAGUAAUGCAUGCUCGGACUAAUCUUUUUUAUUUAAUUCC
RNAcentral lists this ribosomal RNA (1274 nucleotides) under marine metagenome. Its description in RNAcentral is "bacterial LSU rRNA". It matches the Rfam family "Bacterial large subunit ribosomal RNA", at positions 1564 to 2925 of the family's 2925-position model. The record is from RNAcentral.